GCUGUAAUGCACUCUGCCAUGCUAACUCAGUAGCCUGCCAUUAUCUCAAGGUCUCCUUCGUCCAGCAGGAAAUGUGACCUGAUUAUGUUUCUAGUAAAAUUGUAGAGAGACAACUCCUCACUGAACUGUGUUUCUUUUUCAAAUAGCUGUUGAAAUGAAGUCAUCUAAAGUAUUCUCGUCAGGCCAUAGAAUGGACCGAAGCAUGCCAGCUGGUGACAAUAUCUUGGUUUCCCGAUCUACUGACUUCACCCAGGACAAAGUAAAUGGGCAAUUGCAUAGCGAGUUUCCCUCAGCCUUCACCAGCAAACCUAAGAUCCCUCGCACUCCUGAAGCGCAGAGUGCCAGCCCUAGAAAGGGAAAGGUCCCAGCCAUUGCCCCUCAGUUCUCUCAGUCUGGACCCCAAC
This 404-nucleotide long non-coding RNA is filed under the name Buteo japonicus. RNAcentral describes it as "lncRNA (ENSBJAG00000011716.1)". Lineage: Eukaryota; Metazoa; Chordata; Aves; Accipitriformes; Accipitridae. The record is from RNAcentral.